UACAGAGGGGGCGAGCGUUAUUCGGAAUUAUUGGGCGUAAAGGGCGCGUAGGCGGCCUUUCAAGUGACGGGUGAAUUCCCUCGGCUUAACCGAGGAACUGCCUGUCAGACUGGAAGGCUUGAGACCGGGAGAGGUGAGUGGAAUUCCCAGUGUAGCGGUGAAAUGCGUAGAUAUUGGGAGGAACACCAGUGGCGAAGGCGGCUCACUGGACCGGUACUGACGCUGAGGCGCGAAAGCGUGGGGAGCAAACAGG
Molecule: ribosomal RNA, 253 nt
Filed under: uncultured bacterium
Lineage: Bacteria
Description: partial 16S ribosomal RNA
Rfam family: Bacterial small subunit ribosomal RNA
Source: RNAcentral